UUUCUCUGCGUCUGCCCGUGCUGGGGCGCGUCUGUGCGCCUGCGCUGGCGCUGUGCCUUUGGCGGGGCGGAGCUGCGUUCUCUUCAGCACAGACCUGGAGAGCAUCGCGAGGGCGGAGCUCCGUUUUCCUCUGCAGAGACUUCCGGGGUAUUGUGAUGACGGAGCAGCAUUCUACUCAGCACAGACCCGGGGUCUCCCUCUGUUGUCCAAUGCUGGAUUGUAGUAGUGCUAUCACAGCUGACUGCAGCCUCAACCUUCCAUGCUGAAGCGAUCCUCCCACCUCAUCCUCCCACGUCGCUGAGACUACAGGUGCUUGCCACUAUGCCCAACUAAUAUUUGGAAUUUUCGUAUACGUGGAUUCUAGAGGGGUGACAGCGAAACUAGGUGACCUCACAGUGACUCAAGCUACCGCUUACUGUUGAUUGUGACGAAAUGCCAGCUGAGGCACAUGCCUUGGGAGCUAAUUGGUUGCUGCCCUUGACCACUGUGAAGACUGCUGUGGGAAGGGUCGCUUUGGAUGCACUUGAGCAGAGGUCCCCAACCCCUGAGCCAUGGAGCGGCAACGAGCCACACAGCAGGAGGUGGGAACAUCCAGUUUCAGGAAAACAAGCUUAACACGCCCACUGAUUCUGCAUUAUGGUGGGACCAUCCAGUUUCAGGAAAACAAGCUUAACACGCCCACUGAUUCUACAUUAUGCUCCUACCUCCCGGCAGCCUCGCCAGGCCCAGAACUCUCUCCAGUCAGCCUCUACAGACCAAGCUCAUGACUCACAAUGGCCUAUUUAGGCCCAUACCCUACCUCACGGCAGUCUCCGCAGAUGAGCCUACUGCCUCACAACAGCCUCCACAGGCACAGCUCCAUCGUUACAAUGGCCUCUUUAGACCCAGCUCCUGCCUCCCAGCCUUCUCUCCAGGCCCUGAACUUUCUCCGUAAGUUGAGGUAGCUGGGACUGUAGGUAUACAUGAUGAUACUUGGCUAAUUUUUAAAUUGUUUUGCAGACAUGGGGUCUCACUUUGUUGGCCAGGCUGGUGUCAAACUAAUGGCCUCAAGUGACCCUUCCACCCCUGCCUCCCAUCCUCGAGGUAUGUGCCACCACAAGGGGCACUUGUUCAAUUUUCUAAAGAAAAAAUUUCUAAAGUAAGGCUGUGGGAUGAUGGCAGGAAGAUAAAAGAAAAACAGAAGAAUAAGUUAAAAUGACUUAUUCACACAUAUUCUUUUGACAGCAAGAAGAACUGUUAGUAUAUACAUUCCUUACAAACAAACAAAUGGCAGAUAAACAAUGUUGUAUAGGAACUUCAACACACACUGUACAAUAUUCCCACUUUGCUGACAUAAGUUAUGGAAAUUUCGUGGUUUCCUUGAGUGUCGCUACCAGUAUUUUGCUUCUCUGAUGAUUUUUAUCAACUUCCUCAUCUGUUAACUUCUCUCCAAGGUAUGUCAUGUCACGACAUGCUGCCGCUGCACGAACACGGCCAGUGUCUUCCUAUUAAACAUGUAGAAUGCUUUCCUAA
This is a long non-coding RNA of Gorilla gorilla gorilla (western lowland gorilla), 1512 nucleotides long. RefSeq lists it as uncharacterized. Lineage: Eukaryota; Metazoa; Chordata; Mammalia; Primates; Hominidae. The record is from RefSeq and is a predicted model, not a curated record. The transcript has 6 exons.